Daktulosphaira vitifoliae (grape phylloxera) is the source of this 310-nucleotide long non-coding RNA. RefSeq lists it as uncharacterized. The record is from RefSeq and is a predicted model, not a curated record. The transcript is spliced from 3 exons. Lineage: Eukaryota; Metazoa; Arthropoda; Insecta; Hemiptera; Phylloxeridae.
CAAUAAUAACUAAAAACUAAAAAACUAGGGGACGACAGCUUUUACCUACGCUGAUUGGUGAAUUCUUGCUUGUCAAAGUCAAUAUGCGGCAUAAGGACCGAGUGAUGGAGAUUUGGGGAGUGAAGAUCCAACAGUGGGAAUGAUCUUUGCGUUGGUUCUUAUCGCACGGAUUUUGUGGCCUGUUCGAAAGCACGGUUCUUUGUGGCGCAUUCGUUUGAACGAGGUAUACUUAUUGUUGGGCCUCCCUAAUUUGUAAGUGAUUUGGUCAGAACAGUCAAUUUUUUCUUACAAAAUAGCAUUGAUUUCCAGA